UCCUAUUGCCAACCCACCAACUUAGUAUGAAACUUGGGUCCAGUUAUUCAGAACUUUACUACAUGUUUUUGACCAAGAUAAGUCCUAAGAUGCUACCCAGGGCAUUUUCAGCCUAAUCAGGGGCUCCUAUAGAUUCAAGCACAAAGGUCAAAGGUUGAUCAUCUAUCAGUGUACUUUACUGUCUUAGUUUUGAACUGCAUCUCCUCGAAUCACAGUUGGUAAGCUGGGCUGGACUGGAUCUUAACUCAGAGUUCUGUAGGAAGAUGAAAAUGGGAGAGAGAGAGAGAGAGAGAGAGAAGAGACAGAGAGAGAAUCUUUCUGGUGUCUCCUGUUAUGAAGACACUAAUCCCAUUCAUGAUGGCUCCACCCUCAUGACCUAAUUCUUUCCCCAACGUCUCACCUCCAAAUACCAUCAUAUUGGGAAUAUAGGAUGGAAUUACAGGGAUGCGCCACCACAUCUGGCUGAACUCUCAUUGUUUCUUGUUGAAACAGGUUAGAUCACAUAUUUGUAGGUUGGAUUGUACUACCAGAAGGAAGAGAUCUAUAGGACUGGUAAAUAUCUUCCGUGAGUUGUUUAUAGCAAUGCAGCAGCUCCUCCCUCAAUGAAGUGUGGCUUGUCCUUAGGUUCUGGAGAUCAGCUCUGUGACCCACCAUCCAUCCUGCUGUUGGUCUGCUGGAUGUCUCCCAAGCAGGUUUGGAGCUGGCAUCUGUCGCACAGGAGCUCUCCUGUUUUCUCAGUGUAACAUGGCUUGGAGAAGCUUUGUAUGGACUGGGGGUUCAGAGUGUCAAAGUUUUGAUUAUUCUUGGUGCUUUUAUUCUGCUAAGUGUGUCUCCAGCAUCUCAGCAAGAUUUUUGAUUUAUGGAGUUCAUGCUGUCUGCUUCUGCACUCUAGUCACCAUCUUGGAUCCCCUCUAAUUUUCCUAAUUCUAACUUGAAGGUGAAUGAAUGAUAACAAAAGUAACAACUUUGUUCUAUCAAUGAAUAUUAAAGAAAAGAAGGGCCUAGAUUAUGAGUACCUCAGUUUUAACUGCAAGGUCCUAUGUUAGAGUGCUAGUGUGACAGUCAUGGGUUCACUAGUUACUGACUAGCCACAAGAUCUCAGAUGAGCUACUUAUCCACAAAAACAUUAGGCCUCUCAUUUGUGCAAUGGGAAAAAUAUCACCACCCAUCUCAUAUUUUGUGAUGAGGAUUAAAUAAGCACUCAAGUCGCUUGGCAAAAUAGUAUAUAAUAAUCAAUUGGUGAAUUAUGGCAUUCUAAUAGUUAUUCUUCAGUGAAAAUUCUCCCCACACCUGUAUCAGUAUAAAAUAGUUUUAGCCAACCUAAGAUAAUAAAAAUGCAGAAACUUGGAGGAAUCUCAGAAGACAAAAUGCUCUUUAUAAGUAUUGAAUAUAUAUAUAUUCACAUGGGUUCAAAAUUUUAAAAAGCAAAAAAUAUUUGAAAGUUUUUGAAUCACUCACCUUUCUCAGCCAUAAGGUUUGCUUCCCACAGGUAACUAACGUUACCAUUUCUUGAAUAUCUUAAAGGGAGUUAAUGCAUCUAAAAUAUAAGCAAAAAAAGCUUUUGCCAGCUUUAUUUAAAAGUGCUUUUAAAAUAUGAAUCCCCCUUCUAUACUUGUAAGAGGAAUUGUUUUUCACAGGACUUAAGGCUCUGCCAUGUUGACACACAUGUCUAUUAUUAUUUUACUAAGACUACAGGUAAAAUUUGUCCUACAUCUUGUAAGAUACAGAACUUACUAGAACUCUGGGACAUAUUUUAUGUCACUAGUAUUUGUGCUGAAUAUUAUCUUAUUGUGUAUUGAAUUUAUAUGGCAUCUCAAUAUAGUUAAACUCAGAUAAAGAAUUUGCUGUGCUUAAUUAAAUUAGCUGGGUAUGUGUGCAUCCUGAUGUAAAUAUAUUUUCCUUAUAAAGACUAUUUUGUUCUUUGUAAGGCACUAGAAGUUUGAAAUUAGCUCGGUUUUUUUUUUUUAGCCCUGAGUUUUAAAAUUUGGUCCUAAAACAAGACAGAAAAACACUGGUGGAACUGAAAGGUUGAAUACAGUUUUUAGGAAUAUUCUUAUUUUUUCACUAUUCACUGCCUCCUGACUAAAUAUAGUAUUUUUCAAAUAUUAUUGACUAUUAAUGUUAGCAAUAAAAUGUAUCUAGGGA
Castor canadensis (American beaver) is the source of this 2145-nucleotide non-coding RNA. The record is from RefSeq and is a predicted model, not a curated record. NCBI's taxonomy places the organism in Eukaryota, Metazoa, Chordata, Mammalia, Rodentia, Castoridae.